Molecule: ribosomal RNA, 816 nt
Filed under: Levilactobacillus namurensis
Lineage: Bacteria; Bacillati; Bacillota; Bacilli; Lactobacillales; Lactobacillaceae
Description: bacterial SSU rRNA
Rfam family: Bacterial small subunit ribosomal RNA
Source: RNAcentral
CCGUUGAUUGACGUGCUUGCACUGAUUUCAACAUUGGAACGAGUGGCGAACUGGUGAGUAACACGUGGAAAACCUGCCCAGAAGCAGGGGAUAACACUUGGAAACAGGUGCUAAUACCGUAUAACAACAAAAACCGCAUGGUUUUUGUUUGAAAGGUGGCUUCGGCUAUCACUUCUGGAUGGUUCCGCGGCGCAUUAGCUUGUUGGUGGGGUAACGGCUCACCAAGGCGAUGAUGCGUAGCCGACCUGAGAGGGUAAUCGGCCACAUUGGGACUGAGACACGGCCCAGACUCCUACGGGAGGCAGCAGUAGGGAAUCUUCCACAAUGGACGCAAGUCUGAUGGAGCAAUGCCGCGUGAGUGAAGAAGGGUUUCGGCUCGUAAAACUCUGUUGUUGAAGAAGAACGGGUGUCAGAGUAACUGUUGACAUCGUGACGGUAUUCAACCAGAAAGCCACGGCUAACUACGUGCCAGCAGCCGCGGUAAUACGUAGGUGGCAAGCGUUGUCCGGAUUUAUUGGGCGUAAAGCGAGCGCAGGCGGUUUCUUAAGUCUGAUGUGAAAGCCUUCGGCUUAACCGAAGAAGUGCAUCGGAAACUGGGGAACUUGAGUGCAGAAGAGGACAGUGGAACUCCAUGUGUAGCGGUGGGAAUGCGUAGAUAUAUGGAAGAACACCAGUGGCGAAAGCGGCUGUCUAGUCUGCAACUGACGCUGAGGCUCGAAAGCAUGGGUAGCGAACAGGAUUAGAUACCCUGGUAGUCCAUGCGUAACGAUGAGUGCUAGUGUUGGAGGGUUUCGCCCUCAGUGCGCAGCUACGCAU